GACGAACGCUGGCGGCGUGCUUAACACAUGCAAGUCGAACGGAAAGGCCCUGCUUUUGUGGGGUGCUCGAUUGGCGAACGGGUGAGUAACACGUGAGUAACCUGCCCUUGACUUUGGGAUAACUUCAGGAAACUCGGGCUAAUACCGGAUAGGAUCUCCUGCUGCAUGGUGGGGGUUGGAAAGUUUCGGCGGUUGGGGAUGGACUCGCGGCUUAUCAGCUUGUUGGUGGGGUAGUGGCUUACCAAGGCUUUGACGGGUAGCCGGCCUGAGAGGGUGACCGGGCACAUUGGGACUGAGAGACGGACCAGAAGCCUACGUGAGGCAGCAGGCGGGAAUAUUGCAGAAUGGGCGGAAGCCUGAUACAGCGACGCCGCGUGCGGGAUGACGGCCUUCGGGUUAUAAACCGCUUUGGCCUGUGACGAAGCGUGAGUGACGGUAAUGGGUAAAGAAGCACCGGCUAACUACGUG
Molecule: ribosomal RNA, 468 nt
Filed under: uncultured bacterium
Lineage: Bacteria
Description: partial 16S ribosomal RNA
Rfam family: Bacterial small subunit ribosomal RNA
Source: RNAcentral